RNAcentral lists this ribosomal RNA (253 nucleotides) under uncultured bacterium. RNAcentral describes it as "partial 16S ribosomal RNA". It matches the Rfam family "Bacterial small subunit ribosomal RNA", at positions 524 to 776 of the family's 1533-position model. The record is from RNAcentral.
UACGGAGGGUGCGAGCGUUGUCCGGAAUCACUGGGCGUAAAGGGCGCGUAGGCGGCGCGAGCAGUCGGCGGUGAAAGCCCGGAGCUCAACUCCGGGUCGGCCGUCGAUACUCUCGUGCUCGAGCACUGUAGAGGCAGGUGGAAUUCCGGGUGUAGCGGUGGAAUGCGUAGAGAUCCGGAAGAACACCGGUGGCGAAGGCGGCCUGCUGGGCAGUUGCUGACACUGAGGCGCGACAGCGUGGGGAGCAAACAGG